UUCGUUCUAUUCGGCCCCUGCUCGACGCACGGGAGCUCAUGUAGUGCACUUUUGUUUUUUGUUUAUUUAUUUAUUUAUUUUUUUUUUUUCCCCAACACAUUUUGAGUUGUAGAAAAAUACCGAAUAUCACGUGUGCACGUAUAAAUCUGAGUUCGCGAGAGCGCGCGCUUUUGUUCUCCGAUACUUACUUGUGCGCGCUACUACAAAAGAUUAUAUUGUCUUCAAAAGCCGCAAAAUCGAAGGAUAAGAGAAAAGUAGGCUGGUUGCACCGGACACAGCCGCCACCGCCGCAGUCGAGAGUUUGCAAGACCGGCGUGAAAGGGAAAAAAGACGAAGAGGAAGAAAAGAAAAAGAAAAAGAAAA
Molecule: long non-coding RNA, 363 nt
Organism: Copidosoma floridanum
Lineage: Eukaryota; Metazoa; Arthropoda; Insecta; Hymenoptera; Encyrtidae
Source: RefSeq, a predicted model, not a curated record